AUUGAACGCUGGCGGCAGGCCUAACACAUGCAAGUCGAGCGGAUGAAGGGAGCUUGCUCCUGGAUUCAGCGGCGGACGGGUGAGUAAUGCCUAGGAAUCUGCCUGGUAGUGGGGGAUAACGUCCGGAGACGGGCGCUAAUACCGCAUACGUCCUGAGGGAGAAAGUGGGGGGUCUUCGGACCUCACGCUCUCAGAUGAGCCUAGGUCGGAUUAGCUAGUUGGUGGGGUAAGGGCCUACCAAGGCGACGAUCCGUAACUGGUCUGAGAGGAUGAUCAGUCACACUGGAACUGAGACACGGUCCAGACUCCUACGGGAGGCAGCAGUGGGGAAUAUUGGACAAUGGGCGAAAAUCUGAUCCAGCCAUGCCGCGUGUGUGAAGAAGGUCUUCGGAUUGUAAAGCACUUUAAGGGGGGAGGAAGGGCAGUAAGUUAAUACCUUGCUGUUUUGACGGUACCAACAGAAGAAGCACCGGCUAACUUCGUG
This 484-nucleotide ribosomal RNA is filed under the name uncultured bacterium. RNAcentral describes it as "partial 16S ribosomal RNA". It matches the Rfam family "Bacterial small subunit ribosomal RNA", at positions 30 to 507 of the family's 1533-position model. The record is from RNAcentral.